CCGCGCCUCUGUGAUGGGCUUACUCACCAUGUCAUUCGGAACUAGAACUAGGAGACCAUUGGACCCUACUAGCGGGAAACGGCAAGGCUGGUGCCAACCUCCCCGGUAAAACCAGCUCUUCAAGUGGAAGGGAUAAUUAUUGGGCUUGAAAUGUCCGUACCCGGUUUAGUAAGUUCCUGGUAAAAUCGGGUAGCUUAACUAUCUGUAUGCUAGGAAUACUGCUAUGCUAGAGGGGGGAAGAGGUCUGAGGUACUACAGGGGUAGGGGUGAAAUCUUAUAAUCCUUGCUGGACCACCAGUGGCGAAGGCGUCUGACUGGAACGCGCCUGUCUGUAAGGGACGAAAGCCAGGGCAGGGAACCGGAUUAGAUCCCCGGCUAGUGCGGGCCGUAAAC
This 393-nucleotide ribosomal RNA is filed under the name uncultured archaeon. RNAcentral describes it as "bacterial SSU rRNA". It matches the Rfam family "Archaeal small subunit ribosomal RNA", at positions 375 to 758 of the family's 1478-position model. The record is from RNAcentral.